This 46-nucleotide small RNA is filed under the name Brugia malayi. Its description in RNAcentral is "RNA transcript Bm16758". Lineage: Eukaryota; Metazoa; Nematoda; Chromadorea; Rhabditida; Onchocercidae. The record is from RNAcentral.
GUCAGGUGUGGUGGGGGCACACCUUUAAUCCCAGCACUCAGGAGGC